UGGGGAAUAUUGGACAAUGGGCGCAAGCCUGAUACAGCCAUGCCGCGUGAGUGAUGAAGGCCCUAGGGUUGUAAAGCUCUUUCACCGGUGAAGAUAAUGACGGUAACCGGAGAAGAAGCCCCGGCUAACUUCGUGCCAGCAGCCGCGGUAAUACGAAGGGGGCUAGCGUUGUUCGGAUUUACUGGGCGUAAAGCGCACGUAGGCGGACUUUUAAGUCAGGGGUGAAAUCCCGGGGCUCAACCCCGGAACUGCCUUUGAUACUGGAAGUCUUGAGUAUGGUAGAGGUGAGUGGAAUUCCGAGUGUAGAGGUGAAAUUCGUAGAUAUUCGGAGGAACGCCAGUGGCGAAGGCGGCUCACUGGACCAUUACUGACGCUGAGGUGCGAAAGCGUGGGGAGCAAACAGG
Molecule: ribosomal RNA, 404 nt
Filed under: Actinomycetes bacterium
Lineage: Bacteria; Bacillati; Actinomycetota; Actinomycetes
Description: Actinobacteria bacterium partial 16S ribosomal RNA
Rfam family: Bacterial small subunit ribosomal RNA
Source: RNAcentral